RNAcentral lists this ribosomal RNA (387 nucleotides) under Triticum aestivum (bread wheat). RNAcentral's name for it is "partial small subunit ribosomal RNA". The record is from RNAcentral. Lineage: Eukaryota; Viridiplantae; Streptophyta; Magnoliopsida; Poales; Poaceae.
AUGCAGGCAGGAGUCGGUCUACUUGGCUUGGACGUGAUGCCUAUAUACAUGAUCAUACCUACAUAUUCUCAUAACUAUGCUCAAUUCUGUCAAUUGCUCAACAGUAAUUUGUUCACCCACCGUAAAAUACUUAUGCUCUUGAGAGAAGCCACUAGUGAAACCUAUGGCCCCCGGGUCUAUCUUCAUCAUAUUCAUCUUCCAAAACUUAGUUAUUUUCAUUGCCUUUAUUUUACUUUGCAUCUUUAUCAUAAAAAUACCAAAAAUAUUAUCUUAUCAUAUCUAUCAGAUCUCACUCUCAUAAGUGACCGUGUAGGGAUUGACAACCCCUUAUCGCGUUGGUUGCGAGGAUUUAUUUGUUUUGCGCAAGUGCGAGGGAUUCAUGCAUAG